Gorilla gorilla gorilla (western lowland gorilla) is the source of this 268-nucleotide long non-coding RNA. RefSeq lists it as uncharacterized. The transcript is spliced from 3 exons. The record is from RefSeq and is a predicted model, not a curated record. Lineage: Eukaryota; Metazoa; Chordata; Mammalia; Primates; Hominidae.
GAAUGGAGUGUAGUGGCGUGAUCUUGGCUCACAACAACUUCUGCUUCCCACAUUCAAGUGAUCCUCCCACCUUAUACUCCUGAGUAGCUGGAACCACAGAGGUAUAAGGAAGAACCAAGAAACAGUAUUUAAGUUAUGUACUGCAUCCUUUGGCAUUGAUGUUACAGUAUUUCACGAAAGGCCCGAGGAAUUCUAAUUGGAACAGACAAAAACCCAAUACAUGUUUAAGCAGUAAAGUAUUCAUCAGGUCACAAAAAGAGGAGCAAGA